This 465-nucleotide ribosomal RNA is filed under the name Vreelandella stevensii. RNAcentral's name for it is "partial 16S ribosomal RNA". It matches the Rfam family "Bacterial small subunit ribosomal RNA", at positions 338 to 795 of the family's 1533-position model. Lineage: Bacteria; Pseudomonadati; Pseudomonadota; Gammaproteobacteria; Oceanospirillales; Halomonadaceae. The record is from RNAcentral.
CCUACGGGCGGCAGCAGUGGGGAAUAUUGGACAAUGGGGGGAACCCUGAUCCAGCCAUGCCGCGUGUGUGAAGAAGGCCCUCGGGUUGUAAAGCACUUUCAGUGAGGAAGAACGCCUGGUGGUUAAUACCCAUCAGGAAAGACAUCACUCACAGAAGAAGCACCGGCUAACUCCGUGCCAGCAGCCGCGGUAAUACGGAGGGUGCGAGCGUUAAUCGGAAUUACUGGGCGUAAAGCGCGCGUAGGUGGCUUGAUAAGCCGGUUGUGAAAGCCCCGGGCUCAACCUGGGAACGGCAUCCGGAACUGUCAAGCUAGAGUGCAGGAGAGGAAGGUAGAACUCCCGGUGUAGCGGUGAAAUGCGUAGAGAUCGGGAGGAAUACCAGUGGCGAAGGCGGCCUUCUGGACUGACACUGACACUGAGGUGCGAAAGCGUGGGUAGCAAACAGGAUUAGAUACCCGGGUAGUC